RNAcentral lists this ribosomal RNA (406 nucleotides) under uncultured bacterium. RNAcentral's name for it is "partial 16S ribosomal RNA". It matches the Rfam family "Bacterial small subunit ribosomal RNA", at positions 29 to 526 of the family's 1533-position model. The record is from RNAcentral.
AUUGAACGCUGGCGGCAGGCCUAACACAUGCAAGUCGAACGAGUGGCGGACGGGUGAGUAAUGUCUGGGAAACUGCCUGAUGGCGGGGGAUAACUACUGGAAACGGUAGCUAAUACCGCAUACCAUCGGAUGUGCCCAGAGGGGAUUAGCUCGUAGGUGGGGUAAAGGCUCACCUAGGCGACGAUCCCUAGCUGGUCUGAGAGGAUGACCAGCCACACUGGAAAUGAGACACGGACCAGACUCCUACGGGAGGCAGAAGUGGGGAAUAUUGCACAAUGGGCGCAAGCCUGAGGCAGCAAUGCCGCGGGUAUGAAGAAGGCCUUCGGGUUGUAAAGUACUUUCAGCGGGGAGGCGUUACCCGCAGAAGAAGCACCGGCUAACUCCGUGCCAGCAGCCGCGGUAAUAC